This 3527-nucleotide long non-coding RNA is filed under the name Sus scrofa (pig). Its description in RNAcentral is "lncRNA (ENSSSCG00005019214.1)". The record is from RNAcentral. Lineage: Eukaryota; Metazoa; Chordata; Mammalia; Artiodactyla; Suidae.
UGGAUAUAGUUCCCUGUGCUGUACAGUAGUACCUUAUCCAUUAAAUGUAAUAAUUUGCAUCUACCAACCUCAAACUCCCAGUCCAUCCCACUCCCUCCCCCCAACCCCUUGGCAACCACAAGUCUGUUCUCCAUGUCUAUGAGUCUAUUUCUGUUUUGUAUAUAGGUUCAUUUGUGCCAUAUUUUAGAUUCCACGUAUUAGUGAUAGUAUGUGAUAUUUGUCUUUCUCUUUCUGACUUAUUUCACUUUGUACGAGAAUCUCUAUUUGCAUCCAUGUUGCUGCAGAUGCCAUGAUUUCUUCCUUUUUUAUGGCUGAGUAGUAUUCCGUUGUAUACAUGUACUACGUCUUCUUAGUCCGUUCAUCUGUUGAUGGCAUUUAUGUUUUUUCCAUGUCUUAGCUAUUGUGAAUUGGGCUGCUAUGAACAUAGAAGUGCAUGUAUCUUUUUUUCCAAAAUGAUUAUUUAAUGGCUUCAUGUUAAUUACACUAAGUUGCAUUAAAUUUAAGUAAUAUUAAAAUUAAUUACCAAUGAACUCUUUUAUUCUUUCUUUUUUCUUUCUGAGUCUUCCAAGUCCAGCAUAUUUUACACUGCCAGCACUUCUCAAUUCAGACUAACCAUAGUUCCAAUGCUCAAUGGCCACAUGUUGUUAGCGGCUACUGAGCUGGAUGGUACAGCUCUAGAUAACUGCACAAAUAUUGUAUCCUGACUCUGUGUUGACUGUUCAGCUGCAUGGAGAAUAUUAGAUGCUUUAUGACAGAAGCUAAAGAAAAAAAGUGUGGGAAAACAUUUUAUAUUACUGUGGGGUCUGUCCUUGAAAUCUGAUUUUAAUGCGUAAUUAAACUUAGACCCAGAAUGUUUUAUUAGCCCUCUAGCAACAAAAACAAACAACUUCAAAUUACCAUUGCUUACUCUUAUUUGUUCUCUUCCCCUCUCCCCUCCCCCAUUUUUUUUUUCCCUAAAAGUAGCUGGGACUGAAAAGAGUGAGGUAAACGAUGGAACAGCAUGCCCUAAACCCACAUCCUGCAAAAUGUGAUAAGUUGCCCUAGGCAACAGUGGUUGUCAACUUUUUUUUUUUUUUCUUUUUAGCUUCCACCUGCUAGUUCACAAACACAACAUACCUUCAUCAACAGCAACUGUCUUUGCCAGUGAUUCUCAACUGCAGAAAUAAACCUCCCUUUCAGGGCAGAGAGAGAGUGAUACAUUUGGAUUGUGGAGUUGGAGGUGCCAUGGGUGUGGUUUGAAAAAGCCUCAGGGAGCUUCUGAUGCAGUUUCUCUCUUGUUCAGAAUGGUUAAGAAUCUCUGUCCCAGACCCGCUACUUCCAUAUGUCCUUCCUAGUGACUUAGUCUUUUAAAAAUAUGCCUGGACCAUGAAAAAAAAAAUGGCAGACAAAAGUAACCAUCAGUUACUUGGGACUUGGGAACAUGCGUGGUGAUAUGUGAAUAAGUGACUGAUGUUCGUUUCCACUGGUGGUUUUAGAAGGAGAAUAGAGUAAUAAAAAUCAUGAUGAUAAUGGUGAUAACAAUAUCAGCUGAUAUUAGUACCACUAAUAUCACUUUAUAUGUGCCAGAUGCUAUAGUAAGCACUUUAUAGACAUCUUCUCAUCCCUGUGACAUAGGGACUGUUUUCACUGCUGUUUUAUGAAUGAGGAAACUAAAUCAACAGAGAGGUUAAAUCACUUGCCAGGAUCACCCAGCAGUUGAGUAUAUUUACUGGGUACACAGUGUGUGUCACAUUCUUGGGUGAAAAUGCAAGAGUCCAUGCCUCAAGUCAGUGUGAUGUGAAAGACAGACAUGAAGUCAAUUGUAUUAGAGCUGGAAAUAUGGAUACUGUAAGAGCAGCAUUAGCAAAGGAGCUGCCAUAUUCCACCUCUUAAUAGUCAUAGUCUAUGUCUUCAGAAGACCACGUUUGGGGUUUUGGGGUUUUUUUGCGUGUGUGUCUUUUUAGGACCGCAUCCCUGGCAUGUGAAGUCCCCAGGCUAGAGGUCAAAUCGGAGCUGUAGCCAGCUGACCUAUGCCACAGCCACAGCAACCUCCGAUUGGACCCCUAGCCUGGGAACGGCCCAAUAAAUAGCAAAAAGACAAAAAAAAAAAAAGGCAAAAAAAAUUUUUUUUCACAGAUUUCAAAUAAAAAUCAGUGGCCCAAUAAAUAGCAAAAAGACAAAAAAAAAAAUCAAAAAAAAUUUUUCACUGAUUUCAAAUAGACUGUACAAGGCCAGUUAAGUUGGCCCAAGAGAUGUCCUCUGGUUCUCUGUUGAGUAUUGUUUGAUAAUGUGUGUAAUUUUAGAGAUGCUUCUGUUUCCUGUUUUACAUUACCCAGAAGUUUUAGCUUCCCCCCUCCCCCAAACAUUGCAAGAACCUUUAACCAUGUGCUGCGUUGCUCCGUGAACCACUUCCUCUUGAGGAGUGCUUUCAUUGCAUUUUGAAAAAAAACACCACACUGAAGGAAUUAGGUAAAAGUCAAUAUUGUCCGUUAUUUUCCAGUUGUACUGCACACUAGCUAUUCCAUGGUGUCCACCAGCAUUUGUGAUCAUCUGGAUUCUGCACUGCAUAUUCCACACUAAGAGUGAUUCCUAUCACCAACAGACCUGUUUUAAAUUAGAUCCUCUUUUGUAUUUGUAAUGUGUGGGCUGAUAUUUUUCCUUGAAAAAAUGAACAUAGCCGCCUAUUUUUUAAGUUUAAAAGUAAUAAAAAAAAAACCAAAGUGAAUUGAUACUGACAAAGCCUCAAGUUUUUCAACCUUCUUUCUCAUGAAUUCUAGUUAUAUUGUCGCUCUGGCAAUCUAGCUAUGGACUCAGAAAUCCACUCAUUUGCACUAAUACAUGAAAAUGUUACAGCGUGGAUGAAACUUGAGGACAGGUAUUUCGUUCCACUUACACGAGAUAACAUUAGAGUGGCCACAUUCAUGAAGGCAGAAAGUGGGAUGGUGGAUCCCCCAGGGUCAGGGGCUUAAUGAGGAUGGGGAAUUAUUACUGAAUGGGUAUGAAGUUUCAUUUGGGGAAGAUGAAAAAGUUUGGGAAAUAAGUGGUAGUAAUGGUUGCACAACAACGUACACUGAAAAAUUACUAGAAUGGUAAAUUUUGCGUUACGUAUAUUCCACUUCAUUUUUUUUUUUUUUUUUCUUUUUGACUGUGCCUGAGGCAUGUGGAAGUUCCCAGGCCAGGGGUCAAACAUGCACUGCAGCCAGAGAACUUCUCUACUUCAUUUUUUUUUUAAUUUACCAAAAAUACAUGGGGAGUGAAAAAAAUAACAUUUCAAUGCAAGGAGGCAAACACUGUUCCUCUUCUUCAACAUGGAAAGAUGUACUAUAUGUGUAGAUGACAUCUAGGGGUGUAAUCCUGACACACUGAUGAAGAGAAACACAGGAGUGGAAGACCGACUGAGGAAAAUCUUCCAGAAGUUGGUUUGAGCCUAGAACGGUGUCUGGGAUCAACAAAUAUUUGUGGGCCGACUUAGAUUGUGUAACCUCAGGCAAGCAAGUUAAUCUCUGGGUGCCUUCGUUUCCUCAUCUGUAAAGCAGGGCAACAUGUCC